GAAAGUGCCGACAAACAUUAAUGGAGGCCACGUGAAGUUUUGGAAUCUGGGAAAGAAAAUAUGGGGAUCCGAAAAGACUGUAGCCAUAUUUCCUCCUAUAGAUAUUGCCUUUGCAAAACUUGAUUGGAGCAACUGCGUUUCAACUUAACUUCCUUCAUUUGCUGAAACUCUAGUUUUCUUAAGGCUUUCUUUGAAACCUUCUUAAGAAUGGCUUCCUCUUCUUCCUG
RNAcentral lists this long non-coding RNA (227 nucleotides) under Prunus persica (peach). RNAcentral's name for it is "long non-coding RNA (PPER_LNC006786)". Lineage: Eukaryota; Viridiplantae; Streptophyta; Magnoliopsida; Rosales; Rosaceae. The record is from RNAcentral.